This is a non-coding RNA of Paramuricea clavata, 282 nucleotides long. Lineage: Eukaryota; Metazoa; Cnidaria; Anthozoa; Malacalcyonacea; Plexauridae. The record is from the annotation of a GenBank genome assembly.
UCACAAACCGAAAUAAACAUAUUUCUCCACGAACAAUGAGUGAACCCUUGAACUGAAUGCGAAGUUCCGUUAAAAUGCAAUGAAAUUUCUUUCAAGGUUCUAUUUGUUUGAAAUUGGCAGUUUAAAAUGGCACUAAAAACCCAAUAUAAACUAUAAAAAACUUAACUGUCUUGAAAUAUUUUGUCGGGCGGUACAUUUAUAUUGUAUAACAAAAUAUUUUCACGCGGCUCUUAAAAUACAGUCGGGCGGUGAUGAGAAUCAAGGAAUUUAUUUUAUGUGGCC